Kluyvera intermedia is the source of this 149-nucleotide non-coding RNA. Lineage: Bacteria; Pseudomonadati; Pseudomonadota; Gammaproteobacteria; Enterobacterales; Enterobacteriaceae. The record is from Rfam.
CUGGAGCAUGGUCAUGAUUCGCAAUGUUCGCUUCCUCGGUCUACUACUACUAAACGCAUCCCAUGUGCGCGGUAGACCGGUGGACGACGCUCAGCGUUAAUCAUCCUCCAGUUAACACUAAGAACCCGCGCCUUGGCGCGGGUUUUUUU